RNAcentral lists this unclassified non-coding RNA (408 nucleotides) under Hevea brasiliensis (rubber tree). The record is from RNAcentral. Lineage: Eukaryota; Viridiplantae; Streptophyta; Magnoliopsida; Malpighiales; Euphorbiaceae.
AGAAGCUACCCAAAUGAACGGUUCUAACUAAAUUACCUGUCACGUUCUUGAACUAGGAGUACCCAACCCAAGUACACAGUAACAGUAGCGACUAGCGGCUAACAACAACUCUAGCCGCCACUUUACUGUGAAGUGUGAAGAGGGUCUUCUGGUUCUAUUCUUGAUCCCACCGGAGAAACCGUCGCCGGAGUCCUCAACAUCCAUCAAUCUUCUUUUUUCCGUUCAAUUCCCAGCAGCCGGAAAGCACCCAGAACAUCAAUUUCCAUUAUCAGAGCCACCUCUGAGACACCUUUGUCUUCUACUUCAACAAGCACCACCACCACCAAAGAAGCCGAGAAGCUGGAGGCUUCUUUUACUGCUCCACCCAAUUUCAAGCCACUGGAGCCCAAGCCGUUCACAGUGAAGGAA